RNAcentral lists this long non-coding RNA (275 nucleotides) under Brassica rapa (field mustard). RNAcentral's name for it is "long non-coding RNA (BRAP_LNC006767)". Lineage: Eukaryota; Viridiplantae; Streptophyta; Magnoliopsida; Brassicales; Brassicaceae. The record is from RNAcentral.
GUUGAAGUGAACUUGAAGUAGCUUGGGAAAUAAGCUACCUCUUUCCUAAUGAGUUUAGGAAUAGAAAAGAUAAAUAUGAUUAAGAGUUAUCUACUAAAGUGUUAUCCUAAUGAGUUUAGGAACUUAGUUUUAUAUAUAAGGAUAUGCAAGAGUGUUGCAUAACUUAAGAGUUGUGUGAGCUUUAGUUUUGAGUUAUUUUCUAAAGCAUUGAGUGAGGUUUAUAAUAAAGAGUUUCGAGUUCUUAAUAAACCUUGAGUCUGAGAUCGUUGAGUUAC